AUUGAACGCUGGCGGCAGGCCUAACACAUGCAAGUCGAACGGUAACAGGAAGAAGCUUGCUUCUUUGCUGACGAGUGGCGGACGGGUGAGUUAUGUCUGGGAAACUGCCUGAUGGAGGGGGAUAACUACUGGAAACGGUAGCUAAUACCGCAUAACGUCGCAAGACCAAAGAGGGGGACCUUCGGGCCUCUUGCCAUCGGAUGUGCCCAGAUGGGAUUAGCUAGUAGGUGGGGUAACGGCUCACCUAGGCGACGAUCCCUAGCUGGUCUGAGAGGAUGACCAGCCACACUGGAACUGAGACACGGUCCAGACUCCUACGGGAGGCAGCAGUGGGGAAUAUUGCACAAUGGGCGCAAGCCUGAUGCAGCCAUGCCGCGUGUAUGAAGAAGGCCUUCGGGUUGUAAAGUACUUUCAGCGGGGAGGAAGGGAGUAAAGUUAAUACCUUUGCUCAUUGACGUUACCCGCAGAAGAAGCACCGGCUAACUCCGUG
RNAcentral lists this ribosomal RNA (490 nucleotides) under uncultured bacterium. Its description in RNAcentral is "partial 16S ribosomal RNA". It matches the Rfam family "Bacterial small subunit ribosomal RNA", at positions 30 to 507 of the family's 1533-position model. The record is from RNAcentral.